GCCGAGGUGGCCCAGCCUGGUAAGGCGCGAGCCUGGAAAGCUCGUGGCGCUCAGCGCUUCGGGAGUUCGAAUCUCCCCCUCGGCG
This 85-nucleotide transfer RNA is filed under the name Methanomassiliicoccales archaeon. RNAcentral describes it as "tRNA-Ser". It matches the Rfam family "tRNA". From Rfam's summary of the family: Transfer RNA (tRNA) molecules are approximately 80 nucleotides in length. Their secondary structure includes four short double-helical elements and three loops (D, anti-codon, and T loops). Further hydrogen bonds mediate the characteristic L-shaped molecular structure. tRNAs have two regions of fundamental functional importance: the anti-codon, which is responsible for specific mRNA codon recognition, and the 3' end, to which the tRNAs corresponding amino acid is attached (by aminoacyl-tRNA synthetases). tRNAs cope with the degeneracy of the genetic code in two manners: having more than one tRNA (with a specific anti-codon) for a particular amino acid; and 'wobble' base-pairing, i.e. permitting non-standard base-pairing at the 3rd anti-codon position. Lineage: Archaea; Methanobacteriati; Thermoplasmatota; Thermoplasmata; Methanomassiliicoccales. The record is from RNAcentral.